CAGCGCGCCAUGGCGGCUUGGCUCGGGACUGUAACGAUGGCUCCUCAUGGCAGGUUGACGCUCCUACAAUGAGUUUUGCAGCACAAAUUGAUGAGCUAUUUUGUAAUCUAUUCUUCUGUACCUGCUUCACGGACGUGCCCAACAGGUACAGGAGAGAUGUAGCCCACUGCUACAUCCUGCAGCAGGCAAGUACUGAGAAUUCUUCAACUCCUGGAAGGCCAUAGAACUUCAGUGACCUCUGAUUUAUACCCAAGUGUGUCCAGAAGUCCUUUGAUGCCAAUGGUGGUCUGUUUCCGAGGGUCGUCUGACUACUGCCUGGUCGACGCUUCACCUCACCCACGCCAAGUUCAGCUCUGGAGACUUUAAUUUGGGAUCUGAGGUUCGAGACACCCUCCAGUUCGUGUCCUCUCAGAGAGUGGCGCUAGUCCAUUGCAGUCUGGCCUUCUUCGGAUCCAACUGUGAUCGCGUUUUAGGACUUCUGCUCGGAGGUGGCUGCAGGCGUGGCCAGAAUCUCCGGCUUCACAAUCUGAUGACGUACUCUGCAUACGCCAGUCCGUUGACACUGGGUCGUCCUAUAACCGAGUGGUGUCCAGGGGGGGCGUGGGCCAUUUUCAUCGCACUAAACUGAAGAAACGACUUCCCCAGCGUCACUCUGCAGAAGAGCAUCUGCCUGAAAUGCAGAAACGUACAGAAUGAUACCGUCAAUGGAAAUGAUACAAACACCGAUAGACGUCAAUAAAGCGGCAGCUUUGGAAUAUGACCGGCAAGAAGAAGCGAGUUGUUGGGACAAAUAGGAAACGAGAAACAUGCCACCAUGACUGGAACUCCUUGUCGUCCGUUGCCAGGUCGAUCAGCACGGUGCCCUGGCUGGAGCAGUGGAACGACAGAGGUUUUCUACUAAUCCUCUUCUGCAACAACAAACAUAUCAACAGCGGGGCUUUACAGAGCGAACAGAAGGAGGUGUCUCGGAGGUGUUCCAGCCCUAGACUCUUCAAGAACUGGUUGAUAGUCAUGUCGAGCAGAGCUGCAGAGACACGGUGAUGUCAGCGAUGCUCCGUCUGCUGGACCGGUGGCCCCGCCCACAGUGAUGUCACCGAGGGGCGUGGUCAGGUUGUCUAUGCUGCUGGCUGCAGACAGGCAGGACGGGGAUGGAGACGGAGAGAUGACCACGCCCCCUGCUGCACCUGUA
Molecule: long non-coding RNA, 1189 nt
Organism: Sebastes umbrosus (honeycomb rockfish)
Lineage: Eukaryota; Metazoa; Chordata; Actinopteri; Perciformes; Sebastidae
Exons: 10
Source: RefSeq, a predicted model, not a curated record